GAUGAACGCUGGCGGCGUGCCUAAUACAUGCAAGUCGAGCGAACGGACGAGAAGCUUGCUUCUCUGAUGUUAGCGGCGGACGGGUGAGUAACACGUGGAUAACCUACCUAUAAGACUGGGAUAACUUCGGGAAACCGGAGCUAAUACCGGAUAAUAUUUUGAACCGCAUGGUUCAAAAGUGAAAGACGGUCUUGCUGUCACUUAUAGAUGGAUCCGCGCUGCAUUAGCUAGUUGGUAAGGUAACGUCUUACCAAGGCAACGAUGCAUAGCCGACCUGAGAGGGUGAUCGGCCACACUGGAACUGAGACACGGUCCAGACUCCUACGGGAGGCAGCAGUAGGGAAUCUUCCGCAAUGGGCGAAAGCCUGACGGAGCAACGCCGCGUGAGUGAUGAAGGUCUUCGGAUCGUAAAACUCUGUUAUUAGGGAAGAACAUAUGUGUAAGUAACUGUGCACAUCUUGACGGUACCUAAUCAGAAAGCCACGGCUAACUACGUG
RNAcentral lists this ribosomal RNA (497 nucleotides) under uncultured bacterium. RNAcentral describes it as "partial 16S ribosomal RNA". It matches the Rfam family "Bacterial small subunit ribosomal RNA", at positions 28 to 507 of the family's 1533-position model. The record is from RNAcentral.